Molecule: ribosomal RNA, 333 nt
Filed under: uncultured Prevotella sp.
Lineage: Bacteria; Pseudomonadati; Bacteroidota; Bacteroidia; Bacteroidales; Prevotellaceae
Description: bacterial SSU rRNA
Rfam family: Bacterial small subunit ribosomal RNA
Source: RNAcentral
GGAGGAAUAUUGGUCAAUGGGGCGAGAGCCUGAACCAGCCAAGUAGCGUGCAGGAUGACGGCCCUAUGGGUUGUAAACUGCUUUUAUAAGGGAAUAAAGUGAGUCUCGUGAGUACUUUUUGCAUGUACCUUAUGAAUAAGGACCGGCUAAUUCCGUGCCAGCAGCCGCGGUAAUACGGAAGGUCCGGGCGUUAUCCGGAUUUAUUGGGUUUAAAGGGAGCGUAGGCCGUCUUAUAAGCGUGUUGUGAAAUGUCGGGGCUCAACCUGGGCAUUGCAGCGCGAACUGUGAGACUUGAGUGCGCAGGAAGUAGGCGGAAUUCGCGUGUAGCGGUGA